This 253-nucleotide ribosomal RNA is filed under the name uncultured bacterium. RNAcentral's name for it is "partial 16S ribosomal RNA". It matches the Rfam family "Bacterial small subunit ribosomal RNA", at positions 524 to 776 of the family's 1533-position model. The record is from RNAcentral.
UACGUAGGGGGCAAGCGUUGUCCGGAAUCAUUGGGCGUAAAGAGCGUGUAGGCGGCCUGGUAAGUCCGCUGUGAAAGUCCAGGGCUCAACCCUGGAAUGCCGGUGGAAACUGUCAGGCUCGAGUCCGGAAGAGGUGAGUGGAACUGCGAGUGUAGAGGUGAAAUUCGUAGAUAUUCGCAAGAACACCAGUGGCGAAGGCGGCUCACUGGUCCGGUACUGACGCUGAGGUGCGAAAGCGUGGGGAGCAAACAGG